Molecule: ribosomal RNA, 429 nt
Filed under: uncultured Loktanella sp.
Lineage: Bacteria; Pseudomonadati; Pseudomonadota; Alphaproteobacteria; Rhodobacterales; Roseobacteraceae
Description: bacterial SSU rRNA
Rfam family: Bacterial small subunit ribosomal RNA
Source: RNAcentral
AACGAACGCUGGCGGCACGCCUAACACAUGCAAGUCGAGCGCACCUUCGGGUGAGCGGCGGACGGGUUAGUAACGCGUGGGAACGUACCCAGAUCUACGGAAUAGCCAUUGGAAACGAUGAGUAAUACCGUAUACGCCCUUCGGGGGAAAGAUUUAUCGGAUUUGGAUCGGCCCGCGUUAGAUUAGAUAGUUGGUGGGGUAAUGGCCUACCAAGUCUACGAUCUAUAGCUGGUUUGAGAGGAUGAUCAGCAACACUGGGACUGAGACACGGCCCAGACUCCUACGGGAGGCAGCAGUGGGGAAUCUUAGACAAUGGGCGAAAGCCUGAUCUAGCGAUGCCGCGUGAGUGACGAAGGUCUUAGGAUCGUAAAGCUCUUUCGCCAGGGAUGAUAAUGACAGUACCUGGUAAAGAAACCCCGGCUAACUCCG